Molecule: transfer RNA, 71 nt
Filed under: Planctomycetota bacterium
Lineage: Bacteria; Pseudomonadati; Planctomycetota
Description: Planctomycetes bacterium tRNA-Gln
Rfam family: tRNA
About the family: Transfer RNA (tRNA) molecules are approximately 80 nucleotides in length.
Source: RNAcentral
UGCCCGGUGGUGUAAUGGUAGCACGAAUGGCUCUGAACCAUUUAGUCUAGGUUCGAAUCCUAGCUGGGCAG